This 497-nucleotide ribosomal RNA is filed under the name uncultured bacterium. RNAcentral's name for it is "partial 16S ribosomal RNA". It matches the Rfam family "Bacterial small subunit ribosomal RNA", at positions 28 to 507 of the family's 1533-position model. The record is from RNAcentral.
GAUGAACGCUGGCGGCGUGCCUAAUACAUGCAAGUCGAGCGAACAGACGAGGAGCUUGCUCCUCUUACGUUAGCGGCGGACGGGUGAGUAACACGUGGAUAACCUACCUAUAAGACUGGGAUAACUUCGGGAAACCGGAGCUAAUACCGGGUAAUAUAUUGAACCGCAUGGUUCAAUAGUGAAAGACGGUUUUGCUGUCACUUAUAGAUGGAUCCGCGCCGCAUUAGCUAGUUGGUAAGGUAACGGCUUACCAAGGCAACGAUGCGUAGCCGACCUGAGAGGGUGAUCGGCCACACUGGAACUGAGACACGGUCCAGACUCCUACGGGAGGCAGCAGUAGGGAAUCUUCCGCAAUGGGCGAAAGCCUGACGGAGCAACGCCGCGUGAGUGAUGAAGGUCUUCGGAUCGUAAAACUCUGUUAUUAGGGAAGAACAAAUGUGUAAGUAACUAUGCACGUCUUGACGGUACCUAAUCAGAAAGCCACGGCUAACUACGUG